Molecule: long non-coding RNA, 7538 nt
Organism: Cavia porcellus (domestic guinea pig)
Lineage: Eukaryota; Metazoa; Chordata; Mammalia; Rodentia; Caviidae
Exons: 2
Source: RefSeq, a predicted model, not a curated record
CAGUGGAAAAUGCUAGUCUGCCUCCAAUCUCCAGUUUCCACCUCUGAGACUGUCUGUAUUUCAACACUCCCAUUUAAUGAGGGAACAAUGGAAUUAGGAAAAUCGAUGACUUGCCUGAGACCACACAACUACCUGGGAAUACAGACAGCAGUCAGGGUCUAGAUGUCUCAUGCAGCGUCCUCACCAUUACCACAUCUUUCUGAGACACACCUUUGACUAUGGAAAUUUUGUUGUACGUUUCUGAUCUUCCUUUGUUUUCAACUCAAUUUCCGCUUUCUAACUAGGGCUUCAGCUGACUUGAUAGUCAGGAAGAGUGAGCGAGUGCUUAGAUGUGGUGAUCUGGGUCAGGAACAGGACGGAGCGAUGCUUAUGGCAAACCAACAGAAUCUCCUGGUCACAAAAUGACCCAUUGGUGGGCCAAGGCCAUUUCCUGUAAUAUACAAUUGCAUCUUCUCCACCCCAGUGAUUGACUGGUGCAAACUCUCAAGCAGUAAAAAUUCAGGAAGGCUUAAUCAAUCCUUCUGCCACAUCUGAAACAAGCAAAUAACUGUUCACUUAUAGUUUAUGAUAAUGGCUGCUAGAGUCAAGUGACUGAACCAUGGGCCUCUUGCUGUUAGACAAAUAGCAUUAACUGACAGAGAUAAAUAAGAAACCAUGGAACCAUUUAUUUAAAUAUCAAAUAGAUGCUAAGGGAGGUGUGGUAUAGAGUAGUUCCAAAAUGGAUCCCAAGAACUUUAAUUUUCUAUUAUCUCUCUUUAGAAUACAGAACACACAUGAUAUAUGUGUUCUGUAUCAGUUGGACUAUUCCUUUGAUACGAACUGACCUAUGAUUUCUGGUGCUCUAGUGGCAAUGAUCACCAUGUAGCACUAUUUUGUGGCCAUGAACUAAUGAGUAAAGAAUAGGGGUAGAGUUAUUAUGUAAAUCAUGCCUUUGUCUAAGCACAGCCAAAUAGUAUCGCAGCAUGCCAGGCCAUGUGAGCAAAGGGUUCACUGUAAUUGCAUUUUAGAAAUGUGAGCAGACAGUUGAGUAUUCUCAUAGCAUCAUCUCCAGAGAGCCUGCUCAGGAGCAGAGAAGACCUUCUUCUUGUUGAAGAUGCUAAUUUAAUUUGGAAACAGCACUAUUACCCAUUUUAUGACAGUAAUCUGAGUAUCUGAAUUAUGUACUCUUUUAUUAUGUCUGAAAAUUAUUUAGAUUUUAGUAUUCCAUAAACAAUAUAUAAGGAUUUUAUGGCUUGAUUUGUAAAAAGAAAAUACUGAAUUAAAACCACAGUUGAGAGAAUUUUAAUGAUUCUGUGAGAAUCUCAUCAUUUAGGAAAGUUCAGUAGAUGAGUGGAGACUUGAGAGAAUGAGGUAUAAACUAUGAAUCCAACCGCAGUUCAUGCAGCAGAGGUUGUCAAGUCUCUUGGACAGCAGAGGGACCGUGGGGUGAGGGAGGUUAAAUUCUCACAAUCCAAUUAGGGACCCAACUUGCUGGAAACAGAAAGGGAAAUGUAAAUAUUCUCUUGUGUGGUUCUCUAAUGGGGUUGGCCUGGCAGUGUUGCUGAUUGCACUGUACUCAGCCAAAGGACUGAAUAAUAAUAACAAAAGCAAACCUUUAAACGCAAGCUCUGUUUUUGCUGCAAGCAAACUCCCAUCCCCAUCACAAGAACAUCUGUCCUUAGGGAACUUGUUUCUCUCCAAUCAGCAUCAUCUCAGAGAAGCAGAAAAUGGAAAACUCUUUGGCAAAUAAUUCUUCCCUAUAAUUCUGCAUUACAUUUGAUUAAUGAAGAGGCAAGAGGAAGCUCCAGCGAAAUGUGGUGCAGGCACUGGCAUUGCCACUUAGAUGACUCCAUCAAGAAAUUAUUUCUUUUGCUUUGCAAGUGCCUUUACCUGGCUCCAAGUCAUUUGGAAACAUCAUCUCAGAAGGGUAAAUUUUCCUUGCUCAUGGUCUGAAAAUUAAAGUCAGAGAUGGGUUUCCAUUAAUUUAUGGUCUCAGCAUAAAUUUGUUUUUACAGUUUCCCAGAAUGUGGGUGUUUUUUUUAAACCUUUCUUUCAAAGAUUUUCCAAAGCCAUUAUCAUUUAUAAAAAUUAUUGUGUUAAAAAUGUUCAACAAAAUAUGUCAUCUUAACCAUUUCUAAAUAGGCAGUUCGUUAGUUUUUAGUGUGCUCACAUUGUUUGUGUAAGUAAUUACCAAAACUUUUUCAUCUGUCACAACUGAAACUCUGCACCCAUUAAGCAGUGAAUCACUGUUUCCUCCCCUAUUUACCUCUGGCGACCAACAUUUUACUUUCUAUUAAUAUGAAUUUAUUUCUUUAGAUACUUUACCUAGUGAGAUGACCUAAUGUUUAUCUUCCUUUUCCCCAGUAUUUAUCUUUCUUGAUUGGUUUAUUUUACUUAGCAUAAUGUCAUAAAAUUCAUCCAUGUUAGUGUUUUAAUUUGACAUCUUGUUAGUUAUUUGGAUCAUUUCUACAUGGAUUUGUAACUAUCACUUUGGAGGUGUUUAUCCUACUCCUUCAAUGGACAUUGAAAAACUUAACUGUUUUCUUGCUGAUCUGUUGGGCCAUUUUGUUUUGCAUAUCAUUAGAAAGUAAUUCUAUAACAAAUAUCUUUCUUCACUUAGAACCUUGUUUACUUGGGAUUAUUUUUCUUUAGAUGCAUUUCUAGCAGUGAAACAGUUUGCUUGAAAAGUAAUUUUAUAGUUAAUUUUGGAAAUUGGAAUUACAGCUUUGUGGGAAUAUAGCCAAGCUACUCUAUUUGAUAUAGGUUAUUGUGAAUAAUACUUCAGUCAAUACAGUCAAUAUUUUCUCUAAAUUUAUUUGUAUCAUUAACAGAAGUGCUUUUCACUGUGAGUAAAUAAAAAGUAUAUCAAAUCAACAAUAACUUAAGCAGAUCGUAGUUUAAUUUUCUUAUAUAAUAUAACAAGUCUAGUUGUAGUCUAGAUGUGCUGUUCUGGGUUAGCAAUGCUCAUGAAAAUCUUCAAGGCCUGGGACCCAUUACAUCUUCAGAUUCGUCCAUCCUUAGUAAGUAGUUUUGUCUUCCUGGUUACAAGAUGGCUAUUAUACCUCUAGGUAUUGAACGAGCUUCCUAAGCAUGAAGAAAGAAGAGGAACAAAGGACUAAAGGGGCAUAUUAUCUUUAUGUACUAAUCAAAUACUUCCCCCAGAAGUCCCAUCUGACUAUUUGGCUUUGAGCUCAAUGUUCAGAAUCAGGUCAUGUAGUCACAGUUGACUUCAUGGUGGUAUGUGACCGAGAGUAUUUUAUCCUGUACAUCUCUGGGUCUAAAAAGAUCACGGUGCUUAUUACAAGAUUUUCAUUACUUCAAGUGAAAAAGGAAGGACAUGAUUUUUAUUUAUUCCAAUAAAAUGACAAACUCCUUCAGAGGAGCUGUAGAACUGUAUUCAGAUCUGAAUUCUGAGCAUUCAUGUAGAGAAGACUCAAGAAAUGUUUGUAAUAUACUGAAAAAGUCAACAAAUGAUCACUCUAAAAUUAGGAUGGGUUAGUUAAAUAGUCACAUUGGAUUAGCUUAUUUACUUUGAUAGCAUUUUUUUUUUUGCCUGACAAUUUAGGAACAUGCAGCAGAAAUAGAAUAUUAAAUAUACAUAGUCUCUCACUGAACUGUACACAAAUGGAGAAAUGUGUGUUCACAAGAAAUAGAGAUUUUAAGAAUUAUAUACACAAGCUACUCACUAAUGGAGAACGUUUAACACCAAGAAAACAAAGAUUUUCUUCCCUUCUAGUGUCUACAGCAGUAUGUAUCCUGUGUGACCAUUUAGUAGCAGUAUGUGAAACAAAUGAAUGUGAACCUGUAUUGACAGAAUCAAUAUUCCUAGGGAUACACUGCAUAUUCUGAUCUGAAUCUUACUCUUUUCAAGGGGAAGCUUAUCAAUGACAUCAUUGAGUAUAUUCCACUUUGGGCUCAUUUUGGACUUUGAUAAGUAAACAAUCAGAAGAGUGAAUGCAAUGAAUGAUAGACUUCAGAUUCAAAGGCAUUUGGGUUACAUCAGCUAAUGGCUGGGAAGUGGAGCAAAGAGAGUUCCAGGGAGGCUUCUCUGAAAAGGUGACACAUGAAGUAACUUCUGAAAGAGGAGAAGAAACCCUGAUUAUAGGACCCAUUCUGGGGGCUGGGGAUUUAGCUCAGCGGCAUAAGUGCCUGCCUUGCAAGCGUGUGGUCGUGAGUUCGAUCCCUGGUACCAGUAAAAAUACAAAAAUACAAAAAAAAAAAAAAAAAAAAAAAAAAGACCCAUUCUGUGUCUUCCAAAAAUGGCUUGGCCACAUCUAACCCCUGAGCACUGUUUCUUUGCUUGUCCACUGAAAGGCUCCAGCUGCUAUUGCUGCUGCUUUUCUCCUGCCUCUACCAGUGGUCUCAGCCUCCCCUGGGGAAGGCUAUUCUCCCACCCAGCCUCUUGUUCAGGCAGAAAACCUUCUGUGGCUGUCAGGCUCCAUCCAUUUCUACUCUUUGAGGUUCCUCCCAUCACUUCCAGGGAGGAAUGAGGUAUUCUGCCGUGUAACAGGAGGCCUGGGUUCCCUAGUGGUUGCCAUGCUCCUUCCCUAAGAGACCCACUCAGCCAUGGAAACAGGAAACAGGAAGGACUAGUGGAUGAAUUCCUUUCUCUCCUGCUGACGGUGCUCUUAGGCUCAAUGAUGAAAUAUGUGCCAUCCAGAAGAAAUUCUGGUGACCAAGGGAACGAGUAUGAGCUGUGUGAUACCUCUCCACUCUGAAUUUACUUUCCUCUUCUUUCUGCUUUACCUUUUGCUAAGGUUUGCAUGUUGUUUGACCUCAAAAUGUAUUCCUGGCUUAUUCUCCAGUAAAAUGGUAGGAUGUGGUAAGCCUUUAAGAGGCGGAGCUAAUGAGAAGUCCUUAGGUCACUGUUGGCAUACCCUCAAGAGAAACCCUGGGCCCGGGCCUCUCUGUCUUUCAGUCUGGUGAUGUGAUGACUCUCUUGUAUGUGUUCCCAUGGCUGUGGUGUGACUGACCAUGAGGUCCUCUCUUGAAACAAACAGAUGCUAAUGCCAUUAAACCUCCUGAACUGUGAUCUGAACAUUUCUUUUCUUUAUAAAAUUAGCGUGUCUCAGGUAUUUCAUUAUAGUAAUGCAAAACAAAGUAAUAAACGUUUAUCUCUUCAUUUCUGAGUACUGAACUUAUAAUGCUUCUUAAAUCUUUGUUUGUAAGCUUAGUUUUAGGAUCUGUUAAUCAGUGAACUAAGGCAAAACAAAUUCUAUGCAAAUAUUCAAGGUGGAUCUGUAGUUCCUGAACUGUUUAGAGAGGUUUUCCAGCUCAUAUGAGCACUACAGGAUAAAUUAAAUCUUUGAUAAAAAACUUAAUGACAUUUGACAUCUGUUGAACCCAUUCUAUUAGUAUACCACUAGCUCAGGGUAGCUGUCAGUUUCACACUAGCUCACACUACAUUCUUCCAGGAACAUUAUAUUUACAAAAUCUGUGGUUUUGGUGGUUGCUCUGAUAAAAAGCAACACGAGGUGGAAAUGAUUCUGAUAUGAUUCUAAGGCUUAAGAAGUUAAUCAUUGCCUAUUACUAACUCAUGAACCAGUCAUGGAGCUACUGACAAAUGCAUACAAACAUUUUUUCUUUCAAUAUUCUUGUCUAUUUUCUUCAUCAGUGACUAAAGAUGCAAGACAUAAAUACUUGUUGAGCUAUGAACACUAACUACUUAAUAAACAUAUGUUCUACAUUCUGUUUUCAUAAAUGUUGGCUUAGAAAAAGAAUUAGACACUAGAGUGGAUUGAGCUGAGAAAGUUUGGGAAAGGUAGCAAGCGCAGAGUUCCAGAGGUACAAAUGACCUUAGCAGGUGUGAGAACCAGUCAGAAGUGCUCCAGAAGAGGGAAGAAUCACCGGAGAGACUAGGUAAGCCUCAGGCUUUGGUAAGGAGCUCAGGUUUCAUUUUGUAGAAAAUGGUACACAUAGCUCUGGAACAAACCACUCUUCCUUCAAGUGACAUUUUCAAAAGCUCUGUUAUCCUUCAUGGUCUAUAAAUAACCAAGGUCCUCGAUGUGUACAUAUACCUGUGCAUGUUUGGCUUAUAACUUUUAUAAAAGAGUGACUCCAUUGUUACCUCCUAAAAAUUCCUGAUAACCAUGUGUAUUCAAAAUAUUACAUGUGUUGGUUUUAUUAUUAUCUGCUCCUGCAGCCUUGGUGGCUGAUAAAUUUGUAGCCCCAGCACCUUCUCAACUGGAUUUGUAAAAGUAUUUAGACUUAUGGCUGGGGAUUUAGCUCAGCGGCAUAAGAACCUGAGUUGCAAGCAGGUGGUCGUGAGUUCAAUCCCCAGUACUGAUAAAAAAAAAUAUUUAGACUUAAAUUUUAUUCUUUCUAUAAAGAAAGAGCUUCAUAUUCAAAGCCAUUUUUAUCAGGUCAAAUACUCAACUUUGAUAAGUCUUGAAUGAUUUUUUAUUUAAGAACCAUAAAUAGGAAGAUAAGAAUUCUUUGCCCUUCAGUGAGAAAUGACUUUGGGCAAUGAAUGUAUGCAGUUUUGAGCUGUGGGAGUAUAUUGUGGCUCUAGAACUGGAAGGCUUCAGCAAAGUGGAGAGAUGUUCAUGUUCUUAUUUGUGUGCAUAUAUUGCUCAAAAUCACAUGUUACAUUUUUGAACCAGAAUGUUAAUUUCUGUGAUUGGAAUGCUUUUGACCCAUUCCCAUGACACUUAGUGUUAUGGUAACCAAGAAGCUGAAUGAAUGUACAAGUUCUUAGUGUAAUAUAAAAUAUAAUAGACUAUACAUAUAUAUGUAUAGUAAUAGUAUAUGUAAUAGAAUACACUUAUGUAUAUUAUGUAUAUAGUAUAUGUAAUAGAAUAUACGUAGGAUGACUGAUAGGUUCAGUGCUUCUCAGAAAGUCCGCCCUACAGCAGAACUCAUUUGUCCUGUGGUAAAAUUAUCUGUGCUUCUUAAAUUUUUCUCUCCCUUCAAUUAGGUUGCUCUUGUAGGGACUGAUUUUGAAAGUUUCCUUUGUUUGUUAACCCACGAUAUAUUCUUUAAGCAUGGAAGAAUAUAGCCUGAUAGGUCCUCUUGGCUUGUCUGUUAGUCUGUAAGACAUUUUGUCUUCUGUUGGUAUGUACUGAUUGAAUUAGGCAAAACUUCAAGAUUCUAAUUCUGCUGUCACUGUAUUCUUAUAUAUCCCUUCACACACACACACACACACACACACACACACACACACAAACACACACACACAGAGUGUGGUUUCUCUCUAUAUAUAUACUUUUUCUUCUUUUUUAUUUAAGAGCAUAUUUUUGAGUUUGUUUUAUAAUAAUAAUAUAUCAAUUUAUUUUAUUCCUGUUAGUAACACCAGAUAAUUUCAUUGUAUUGAUGAUUAACUAUUUAUGUAAUUAGACCAAUAAUAAUGUUAAUAUAUAUCUAAUUACCUGGAUUAAUAACUUAGACUGUGUCUAGUCUAAAAUUUUUUUGUAUAUCUACAAGUAAAUCAGAAGGAAAAUUUCUAGAAAGAAAAUUGUCAUGUUAAUUAGAUUAUACAUUUUAAAAAACUGUAUUUUCAAAUACUGAUAUUGUCAAAUUUUCUAUUGGUGAGACUACUAAUUAAACUAUCUCAGCAAUCU